CCUACGGGGGGCAGCAGUGGGGAAUAUUGCGCAAUGGGCGAAAGCCUGACGCAGCGACGCCGCGUGAGGGAUGAAGGUCCUCGGAUCGUAAAACUCUGUCAGCAGGGAAGAACGGUCACUGUGCUAAUCAGCAGUGAAUUGACGGUACCUGCAAAGGAAGCACCGGCUCACUCCGUGCCAGCAGCCGCGGUAAUACGGAGGGUGCGAGCGUUAAUCGGAAUUACUGGGCGUAAAGCGCUCGUAGGCGGUAGGUCAAGUCAAGGGUGAAUUCCCCGCGCUCAACGUGGGAACUGCCUUUGAAACUGUCAAACUGGAGUGUGGGAGAGGAUAGUGGAAGUCCAGGUGUAGGAGUGAAAUCCGUAGAUAUCUGGAGGAACACCAGGGGCGAAGGCGACUUUCUGGACUGUACCUGACGCUGAGGCGCGAAAGCGUGGGUAGCGAACGGGAUUAGAUACCCCUGUAGUC
This 465-nucleotide ribosomal RNA is filed under the name uncultured bacterium. RNAcentral's name for it is "partial 16S ribosomal RNA". It matches the Rfam family "Bacterial small subunit ribosomal RNA", at positions 338 to 795 of the family's 1533-position model. The record is from RNAcentral.